Molecule: long non-coding RNA, 148 nt
Organism: Sinocyclocheilus anshuiensis
Lineage: Eukaryota; Metazoa; Chordata; Actinopteri; Cypriniformes; Cyprinidae
Exons: 2
Source: RefSeq, a predicted model, not a curated record
AAUCAAACAUCACUAUUCAAGAAUCAGCUACGGGAAAUAGGAGGACUGGACUGGAAGGAUGAAUUUAAUUAAGAUAUAGUAAGUUAAAGUGAGACAGCAGAUGGCAGUAAUGCAACACUAUGGAUGCCAACUGCCGUAAAACUCCAAU